GCAGCGGCGCGCUCGGCUUUCCGGCAAUACCCGGAUGGACGGGUAAUGGCCGCCAUCUGGGACUCGCAGGCAAUGGGGACCACGACA
Molecule: microRNA precursor, 87 nt
Organism: Cricetulus griseus (Chinese hamster)
Lineage: Eukaryota; Metazoa; Chordata; Mammalia; Rodentia; Cricetidae
Source: Ensembl